Molecule: long non-coding RNA, 757 nt
Organism: Cynoglossus semilaevis (tongue sole)
Lineage: Eukaryota; Metazoa; Chordata; Actinopteri; Pleuronectiformes; Cynoglossidae
Exons: 3
Source: RefSeq, a predicted model, not a curated record
CAUGAAAAAACACGGCCUAACAGAAAUGACAAACAGUGGUGAAACAGUUCAAUAAGAGAGUAAUAAAUAUAGAAUGUAAACAAGUAGAGAAGUACUUUAAAAAGAAGCAACUAUGUGUGGAUUGUGUGGUUCAGAAAAAUGUCCAGGUUGAAUGGAAACGCGUCCAUGUGUAAGAAUCAGUUGUGUUUUUGACCAGAAACAUGGUGCUGUCAUGCUCCACCAGAGCCCAGCAGUCUCACAGACUCUAUGAAGAAACUCUGGUGGUUCCAGCCUGAUGCUCUGCAGCCUUUUAUUUGAUCGAAUUACUGAACCCAAGUCUGAUUUUUAAUUCGAACCUAAAAUGAUCAAAGCUCUGAAGCAGGUUCUGAUCAAGCUCCAUCUGUUUUAUUUUCCCUUGAAGAAGAAAAACUUGAUUUCAGGAAUUCUCAACUUCAUGACACACUCAAUGCAACAUGGUUACUUCUGUGCAGGAUAAAUCUACAACAACACCUUUAAACCUCACCAUGUCUACACCUUUGUCUAACAGAAACACCACAGUAACCGGUUUAAGGUGGGGGUCCAGGUCAACGAGAGAGUGAAAGAUUACCCACUCAGCCGAUGUUCUGACAUGUGAUGUGAGAUGUGAAGACCCCGCGGCCCACGGCAGCCCACGGCGGCUCAAGCCUGCGGACUGCAGCCGGGGCCAUUUUAUGGAUCAGAAGCAAUAAAAGCCAGUGCUCAAACAAUAUGGAAGCUGCAGACCUGGACUUCAAUCACA